This 72-nucleotide transfer RNA is filed under the name Ornithorhynchus anatinus (platypus). It matches the Rfam family "tRNA". From Rfam's summary of the family: Transfer RNA (tRNA) molecules are approximately 80 nucleotides in length. Their secondary structure includes four short double-helical elements and three loops (D, anti-codon, and T loops). Further hydrogen bonds mediate the characteristic L-shaped molecular structure. tRNAs have two regions of fundamental functional importance: the anti-codon, which is responsible for specific mRNA codon recognition, and the 3' end, to which the tRNAs corresponding amino acid is attached (by aminoacyl-tRNA synthetases). tRNAs cope with the degeneracy of the genetic code in two manners: having more than one tRNA (with a specific anti-codon) for a particular amino acid; and 'wobble' base-pairing, i.e. permitting non-standard base-pairing at the 3rd anti-codon position. Lineage: Eukaryota; Metazoa; Chordata; Mammalia; Monotremata; Ornithorhynchidae. The record is from Rfam by way of RNAcentral.
AGCGGCGUGGCUCAGUGGAAAGCGCACGGGCUUGGGAGUCAGAGGACACGGGUUUGAAUCCCGACACCGCCA